GACGAACGCUGGCGGCGUGCUUAACACAUGCAAGUCGAACGGAAAGGCCCUGCUUUUGUGGGGUGCUCGAGUGGCGAACGGGUGAGUAACACGUGAGUAACCUGCCCUUGACUUUGGGAUAACUUCAGGAAACUGGGGCUAAUACCGGAUAGGAUCUCCUGCUGCAUGGUGGGGGUUGGAAAGUUUCGGCGGUUGGGGAUGGACUCGCGGCUUAUCAGCUUGUUGGUGGGGUAGUGGCUUACCAAGGCUUUGACGGGUAGCCGGCCUGGGAGGGUGACCGGCCACAUUGGGACUGCGAUACGGCCCAGACUCCUACGGGAGGCAGCAGUGGGGAAUAUUGCACAAUGGGCGGAAGCCUGAUGCAGCAACGCCGCGUGCGGGAUGACGGCCUUCGGGUUGUAAACCGCUUUCGCCUGUGACGAAGCGUGAGUGACGGUAAUGGGUAAAGAAGCACCGGCUAACUACGUG
RNAcentral lists this ribosomal RNA (468 nucleotides) under uncultured bacterium. Its description in RNAcentral is "partial 16S ribosomal RNA". It matches the Rfam family "Bacterial small subunit ribosomal RNA", at positions 28 to 507 of the family's 1533-position model. The record is from RNAcentral.